UGAGUUUGCUCUGUCUUGAUUGACUUCUAAUGACUCUUGAUAUGUGAGGAAGAGCCCUGGAAGAGGAAGAGGAAAGCAAAGGAGUCAGGGAUGGCUCUUCCUCAGGGUCUGUUGACAUUCAGGGAUGUGGCCAUAGAAUUCUCUCAGGAGGAGUGGAAAUGCCUGGACCCUGCUCAGAAGACUUUACACAGGGACGUGAUGUUGGAGAAUUACAGGAACCUGGUUUCCCUGGAUACCUCUUCCAUAUGCGUGAUGAAGGAGUUCUCAUCCACAGAGCAAGGCAAUACAGAAGUGUUCCGCACAGGGACAUUGCAAAGACAUGAAAGUCAUCACACUGGAGAUUUUUGCUUCCAGAAAACUGAGAAAAAUAUUCAUGACUUUGAGUUUCAGUGGCAAAAGGAUGAAAGAAAUAGUCGUGAAGUACCCAUGACGAAAAUCAAAAAGUUGACUGGUAGUAAAGACCGAUAUGAUGACAGGCCUUCUGGAAACAAGCCUACUGAAGAUCAGCUUGGAUUAAGCUUUCAUUCACAUCUGUCUAACCUGCACAUAUUUCAGAAUGAAGGGAAUAUUGAUAAUCAACUAGAGAAGUCUAUAAAUGAUGUUUCCUUAAUUUCAACUUCCCCAAGAAUUUUUUGUAGGCCCAAAACCCAUAUUUCUAAUUACUGUAGAAAUAAUUUGCUUCAUUCAUUACUGACAGAAAGAGAGGAGGUACACGUGAGAGAAAAGUCUUUGCAAUGUAAUGAGAGUGGCAAAGCCUUUAAUUGUAGCUCACUCUUAAGGGAACAUCAGAUAAUCCAUUUAGGAGAGAAACGAUAUGAAUGUGAUAUAUGUGGGAAGGUCUUUAAUCAGAAGCGAUACAUCGAACGCCAUCGUAGAUGUCACACUGGUGAGAAACCUUACAAGUGUAAUGAAUGUGGCAAGAGCUUCUGUCACAUCUCAGGCCUUCUAUUUCAUAAGAAAAUUCACACGGGAGAGAAACCUUACAAAUGUGAUGAAUGUGGCAAGGUUUUUAAUCAAAAAUCACACCUUACACGUCAUCAUAGACGUCAUACUGGAGAGAAACCUUACAGAUGUGAAGAAUGUGACAAAGUUUACACUCGCAAAUCAUACCUUGAAGUACAUAGGAGAAUUCAUACUGGAGAGAAACCAUAGAAAUGUAACUUUUGUGACAAGGCUUUUGGGUGUGCUUCACAUCUGGCAUGACAUACUAGAAUCCACACUGGAGAAAAACCUUACGAGUGUAAUGAGUGUGGCAGAGCCUUUAGUGGACAGUCAGCACUUAUUCAUCAUCAAUGAACUCAUACUGGAUAGAAACCGUAUAAAUGUAAUGAUUGUGGCAAGGUCUUCAGUCAGGCUUCAUCUUAUGCAAAACAUAGGAGAAUUCAUAGAGGAGGAAAACCUCACCAGUGUGAUAAUUGUGACAAAGCCUUUGUUUCACGUUCACACUUCGUUAGACAUCAGAGAAUCCAUACUGGACAGAAAUCCUACAAAUGUCAUAAGUGUGGCAAAGUCUUCAGUCUGGGGUUACUCUUGCAGAACACUGGAAAAUUCAUUCUUGAGAUAAUUGUUCCAAAUGCAAUGAGUAUAGCAACCCAUCAAGCAUUAAUUGACAUUAAUGUCAGUUCAGUAUCAAAUUGAGUUUGAGUUGACUCAACAUUGAGUUCAAGCAUUAAUUGACAUUAAAGUGUUUAUGUUAAGAGGAUUAAGCCAGGCAUGGUGGCUUUUUAUGAGCAUUGUGUUGAAUGUAAAUCACACUGGGCAAUAUAAUUAUUUAACAAUAUUUUUCCAAUCCAUCAAUAUGGGUUGUAUCUUUAUAUAUGUUUGUAAUCAAUAUUUGUAGAUUUCAAAGUACAAUCUUCUCAUCUUUUUACAUUUAUUCCUAAGUAUAUCUUACUUUAAGUCGUCUAGCAAAUGGAAGUGUUUUCUUAAUUUUCUUUUAAAAUUGUUUAUUGUUAAUGGAUGGAAAUUCAGCUAAGUUUUGCUACUGAUAACGGUAUUCUACAAAUACACUGAAUGUAUUUAUUAGUUAUAGUGGUAUUUUGGUUGACUGAUUUUCUACACAGAAAACCAUGUCACUACAAACAUUAUUUACUUCUUUCUGAUUUGGACAAGUUUUAUUUCUUUUGCUAUUUAAUUGCUCUGGCUAAGACAGCCAGUAUUUAUUGAUAGUGAGAGCAUUCUUGGAUCAUGUGAGAUCCUACAGAAAGAGCAUUCCAUUUUUUUUUUUUAAUUGGUUAUUUCCAUUGUGGUCAUUUCAUGGAGGGCCUUUAUAUUAUUUAGGUAAAUUUCCUUCUCUGUUUUGUUUAGGAUUUCUAUGAUGGCUGGAUGGUGAGUUUUGUGAAAUGCUUUUUUCCAUCUAUUGAGAUAAUGUUUUCAUCUUUCAUUCUGUUCAAGUGGCAUAUAUUGAUUUGCUUGAAUAUGUUGAAUCUUUUUUGCGUCCUAGAAAUAACUGGCAGUUGAAUAUCUAUGAUUCUUUUUAUAUCCUCUUGAAUACAAUUUGAUAGUAAAAGGGGUCUUCAAGAAGUUAAUGGAAAAAUACAUAAUAUGAGAAAAUUGUGCAUGAAUUUCAUACUUUUUGCACCAAAAUAAACUGGUACAGAUCUGUUAUAACAUUUCUGAACUGGCUUUAGUUUGAGGCACUCAGAUAAGAGAUGAGUUUGAAAAGGGACUCUAUCAAAGCAAUACGAUUUCUGCUAAAAUUGAAACAAGAAGAAACAACAAAUUUACAUUGAGGCAAGAACAACAAAGAAAACACCUCAAAUAGAUUACAGUGGGAUGGACGUGGUGACUCACCUGAAAUCCCAGCACUCUGGGAAGCCAAGGUGGGAAGAUUGCCGGAGUCCAGGAGUUCAAGGCUGGCCUGAGCAUCAUAGUGGGGCCUCACCUCUACAAAAUGUUUAAAAAUUACCCAGGUGUGGUUGUGAGGACCUGUGGCCACAGCUAGUUGGGAGGUGAGGUGGGAGGAUCCCUGGAUCCCAGAGGAUGAGAGUGCAGUGACCAGUGUUCCCACCACUGCAUCCCAGCAUGAGUGACAGAACUAUGUUUUGUCUCAAAAAAAAAAAAAA
Cebus imitator (Panamanian white-faced capuchin) is the source of this 3065-nucleotide RNA transcript. It is a transcript of the gene named zinc finger protein 888-like, with no coding region annotated. NCBI's taxonomy places the organism in Eukaryota, Metazoa, Chordata, Mammalia, Primates, Cebidae. The record is from RefSeq and is a predicted model, not a curated record. The transcript has 6 exons.